Molecule: non-coding RNA, 24 nt
Filed under: Arabidopsis thaliana (thale cress)
Lineage: Eukaryota; Viridiplantae; Streptophyta; Magnoliopsida; Brassicales; Brassicaceae
Source: RNAcentral
UGAGGAUGCUCUAAGGUGCUGACA